RNAcentral lists this ribosomal RNA (474 nucleotides) under uncultured bacterium. RNAcentral's name for it is "partial 16S ribosomal RNA". It matches the Rfam family "Bacterial small subunit ribosomal RNA", at positions 28 to 507 of the family's 1533-position model. The record is from RNAcentral.
GACGAACGCUGGCGGCGUGCUUAACACAUGCAAGUCGAACGGUAAGGCCCUUCGGGGUACCCGAGUGGCGAACGGGUGAGUAACACGUGGGUAAUCUGCCCUGCACAUCGGGAUAAGCCUGGGAAACUGGGUCUAAUACCGAAUAGGACCACAGGACACAUGUCCUGUGGUGGAAAGCUUUUGCGGUGUGGGAUGGGCCCGCGGCCUAUCAGCUUGUUGGUGGGGUGAUGGCCUACCAAGGCGACGACGGGUAGCCGGCCUGAGAGGGUGUCCGGCCACACUGGGACUGAGAUACGGCCCAGACUCCUACGGGAGGCAGCAGUGGGGAAUAUUGCACAAUGGGCGAAAGCCUGAUGCAGCGACGCCGCGUGGGGGAUGACGGCCUUCGGGUUGUAAACCUCUUUCACCAUCGACGAAGGUCCGGGUGUUCUCGGGCUGACGGUAGGUGGAGAAGAAGCACCGGCCAACUACGUG